AUUGAACGCUGGCGGCAGGCCUAACACAUGCAAGUCGAACGGUAGCACAGAGAGCUUGCUCUUGGGUGACGAGUGGCGGACGGGUGAGUAAUGUCUGGGAAACUGCCCGAUGGAGGGGGAUAACUACUGGAAACGGUAGCUAAUACCGCAUAACGUCUUCGGACCAAAGUGGGGGACCUUCGGGCCUCACACCAUCGGAUGUGCCCAGAUGGGAUUAGCUAGUAGGUGGGGUAAUGGCUCACCUAGGCGACGAUCCCUAGCUGGUCUGAGAGGAUGGCCAGCAACACUUGAACUGAGACACGGUCCAGACUCCUACGGGAGGCAGCAGUGUGGAAUAUUGCACAAUGGGCGCAAUCCUGAUGCAGCCAUGCCGCGUGUAUGAAGAAGGCCUUCGGGUUGUAAAGUACUUUCAGCGGGGAGGAAGGCGUUAAGGUUAAUAACCUUGGCGAUUGACGUUACCCGCAGAAGAAGCACCGGCUAACUCCGUGCCAGCCGCCGCUGUAA
This 504-nucleotide ribosomal RNA is filed under the name uncultured bacterium. Its description in RNAcentral is "partial 16S ribosomal RNA". It matches the Rfam family "Bacterial small subunit ribosomal RNA", at positions 30 to 523 of the family's 1533-position model. The record is from RNAcentral.